GCCAGCCGCCGCGGUAAUACCCGCGCCCCAAGUGGUGGUCGAUAUUAUUGAGCCUAAAACGUCCGUAGCCGGUCUUCUAAAUCCUUGGGUAAAUCGGGCAGCUCAACUGUCCGAAUUCCGGGGAGACUGGGAGACUUGGGACCGGGAGAGGUCAGAGGUACUUCUGGGGUAGGGGUAAAAUCCUGUAAUCCUGGAAGGACCACCGGUGGCGAAGGCGUCUGACUAGAACGGAUCCGACGGUGAGGGACGAAGCCCUGGGGCGCAAACGGGAUUAGAUACCCCGGUAGUCCAGGGUGUAAACGCUGCGGGCUUGGUGUUGGGGUCCUUAGUGGGCGCCCAGUGCCGGAGAGAAGUUGUUAAGCCUGCUGCUUGGGGAGUAUGUCCGCAAGGAUGAAACUUAAAGGAAUUGGCGGGGGAGCACCGCAAACCGGGAGGAGCGUGCGGUUCAAUUGGAUUCAACGCCGAAAAACUCACCAGGAGCGACGGAUAUAUGAAGGUCAAGCCGAUGACUUUACCUGAUUUUCCGAGGAGAGGUGGUGCAUGG
Molecule: ribosomal RNA, 544 nt
Filed under: uncultured archaeon
Lineage: Archaea
Description: bacterial SSU rRNA
Rfam family: Archaeal small subunit ribosomal RNA
Source: RNAcentral